ACCAUUUCAGAAAACCCUCGCUCGCUCAAAACACUACUAUAUCUCAAGUUCUCUCAUGAACCUUUUAGAAAACCCUCUCUCUCACAUCGAUGAAGCACAUCUCCCUCUCAUCGUCCACCGAACUAGCCCAGAUCUCCAUCUCCGUGGACAUCGAGUUCGACGAGAUCGCCAUCUCCGUCGUGCCGUUCAGUUGACCAAGCUCGUCGCAUUCGCCAUCUCCCUUCCUUGUCGCGACCAUUUUUAAGCCCCCAUGGAUUCCCAUCUUCCAUUUUACGAGCUUUAGAUUAGAUCUUCUUCCUCGUAGACCAGAAAGGUUUUACGUUUGCAGAAAGUCCACGCUGAUGUCAACACUAUCCAUGAACUCAGUUGUAAUGUCAAUUGAUUUCUCUAAGGCAGUCAAUGAAGUCCACCUGAGCUUGAGUGAUCACUCCUCUGCUUAUUCCAAGAAUUCUCAGAAUGUGAACAAGAACCAAUAAAAAAAUUGUGAACAAGAAACAAUUAAUUGACUGGUGCAGAAUGUGGAUUGGAGAGAAAGGCUGGCGCUGCAACAUGUCAAAUCUCUUUU
Prunus mume (Japanese apricot) is the source of this 565-nucleotide non-coding RNA. The record is from RefSeq and is a predicted model, not a curated record. NCBI's taxonomy places the organism in Eukaryota, Viridiplantae, Streptophyta, Magnoliopsida, Rosales, Rosaceae.